Molecule: long non-coding RNA, 583 nt
Filed under: Calidris pygmaea (Spoon-billed sandpiper)
Lineage: Eukaryota; Metazoa; Chordata; Aves; Charadriiformes; Scolopacidae
Description: lncRNA (ENSCPGG00000002902.1)
Source: RNAcentral
CUUUGCUACCUCAUAUUUUUCCUCUUCGCCUCACCUGGUGUAGUGCACAUCACAUGGUGGUUAUGGUGUCCCAUCACGCACUGACGUAACUGUGAGAGAUAACGCUCCACAGUCCAACUGAUGGUGAGUCCAUCCUGUUUAACACAUUCAAUCAGUGUUAUUUCCUUUUUACAGGCUGGGUCACAGGUGUGCAGAGAUAUCAAAUAAUCUAUUGAGAUCAUGCAAAGACUCUGGAAAUACAAUCCCAGCAAGUCCUGGCUAUAGCACUUUUGAUAUCCUCGUCAGUGGCCACAGUCCUGCAAGUUUUGACGGGUGGAUGCUGUGGGGGGGUCCAGGGAGCUCUGUGCAACAGUCUCCAAUGGGUUACUAGGAUGAGAAGGUCCAGGGGUAUUUUGGGAAACGAGGAGAAACAUCGCAUCCCAAGACGGUAAACGUACCGAAAAGGUAAUUCGUGUUAGGAUAUUGAUAUGCAGUCAGCAUUUCAGGCUCUGGGGAUCUCGUGGCUCUAAUGCAUGGCAGAAAACUGGAAGGGAAUCGGAACACACAUCUUUGGGGCUGAGUGUUUAUACAGAGUCUCCUGAAA